UUUUGGAAGGGUGCAAUAAUAAGUGCAAACCAGUCAUCUUCUCGUUUGCCGACUCUGAAUAACGCAGCAUAUCGGCGGACUGUCGGGCUCUAUCAACCUAAUGGUAGCCUAUUAGUCUGCCAUGAUUAUUACGGGUAACGUAGAAUAAGGUUUCGACACCGAAAAGGAAGCCUUAGAAACGGCCACCAUAUCCAAGGGAACAGCAGGCGCGAAACUUAUCUAAUUUUGAAUAGAUUACAUAGUAAAUAAAAUGAGAAGACCAUUCCUACUGAACCGUCAUUCCAAUGAGUUGAUCAUAAACCUUUUUCAAGGAUCAAGUGGAGGGCAAGUGUGGUGCCAGCAGCCGCGGCAAUUCCAGCUUCACU
RNAcentral lists this non-coding RNA (365 nucleotides) under Nippostrongylus brasiliensis. Its description in RNAcentral is "Eukaryotic small subunit ribosomal RNA". It matches the Rfam family "Eukaryotic small subunit ribosomal RNA", at positions 225 to 595 of the family's 1831-position model. Lineage: Eukaryota; Metazoa; Nematoda; Chromadorea; Rhabditida; Heligmosomidae. The record is from Rfam by way of RNAcentral.